RNAcentral lists this ribosomal RNA (408 nucleotides) under uncultured bacterium. RNAcentral's name for it is "bacterial SSU rRNA". It matches the Rfam family "Bacterial small subunit ribosomal RNA", at positions 354 to 776 of the family's 1533-position model. The record is from RNAcentral.
GUCGGGAAUAUUGCGCAAUGGAGGAAACUCUGACGCAGUGACGCCGCGUGCAGGAAGAAGGUUUUCGGAUUGUAAACUGCUUUAGAUAGGGAAGAAAAAAAUGACAGUACCUAUAGAAUAAGCUCCGGCUAACUACGUGCCAGCAGCCGCGGUAAUACGUAGGGAGCGAGCGUUAUCCGGAUUUAUUGGGUGUAAAGGGUGCGUAGAUGGAUAAACAAGUUGGUUGUGAAAUCCCUCGGCUUAACUGAGGAAUUGCAACCAAAACUGUAGAUCUUGAGUACUGGAGGGGAAAGCGGAAUUCCUAGUGUAGCGGUGAAAUGCGUAGAUAUUAGGAAGAACACCGGUGGCGAAGGCGGCUUUCUGGACAGAAACUGACAUUGAGGCACGAAAGUGUGGGGAGCAAACAGG